Non-coding RNA from Pundamilia nyererei, 1517 nucleotides. Lineage: Eukaryota; Metazoa; Chordata; Actinopteri; Cichliformes; Cichlidae. The record is from the annotation of a RefSeq genome assembly.
AUGAUGAAAUUUUACACUGUGACCACGCUUUUGACUACUGGGGGAAAGGCACAAUGGUCACGGUUACAUCAGCCGCUUCAACUGCACCCACUGUGUUUCCUCUGGUACCAUGUGGCACUGAGAGCGGAGAUAUGGUCACUCUUGGCUGCCUUGCCACUGGCUUUAACCCUCCUGCGGUGACUUUCUCGUGGACAAAAGGCAGCACUGCCUUGACAGACUUCAUCCAGUACCCUGCAGUACAGAAAGGCAAUGUUUAUACUGGAGUCAGUCAAGUCCGAGUGAGGAAACAGGACUGGAAUCCACAACAGAAUUUCCAAUGUGUUGUGACUCACGCUGCUGGGAAUGCACAGGCUGAUGUCAGACCAACACCGGUGUUUAAGCAGAAUCCAACUCUUAAAGUGUUUUCCUCCUCUUCUGAUGAGGAUGAUACCUAUACUGCCUCCUGCUUUGCCAAAGAGUUUGCACCAAAGAAACAUGGCAUAAAAUGGCUGAAAAACGGAGCAGAUAUCACCAGCAAAAUAGAGCUGACCGAAACGGUUUCUGACUCAAAAAAUGCGGCUGGAAAAACACUGUACCAUGCAACAAGUUUUCUCACAGUAAAUUCCAGUGACCUGAAUGAUAAGACUACAUUUACAUGUCUGUUUACUGGAGGAGUAGAUGGAUCUUUGAAUAAAACUGUGCCUUACAAAGUAAAACCAACAUGUCCUGAUUGUGUUACAUCUAAUGUGAAAGUAGAAAUCACUGGCCCCGCAACUGAGGACAUGCUUUUCCAUAAAAAAGGAACUCUAACAUGUCGAGUCACAGUACAAAAAGAUGAACCUCAAAUAAUAUGGGAGGAUGAGAAAGAAGAUGUGAUAGCAAGUAAACCAAUGAUUAAAGAAAAUGGGGAGACAUACAUGUCUAAACUUGACAUCACCUAUGACGAAUGGAGCAGGGGGGUAAAGCGCUAUUGUGUUGUUCACCACUCAGAUUUACUCACACCUUCGAGGGAACCUUAUGAAAGGGAAUUCGGAGGAAACCCUCAGCGUCCGUCAGUGUUUAUGCUCCCUCCUUUAGAACAAACUAACAAAGAAGAGGUGACCCUGACUUGCUUUGUGAAAGACUUCCUCCCUAAGGAAGUUUUUGUGUCUUGGCUUGUGGAUGACGAGGAAGCAGACUCAAGUAGUUAUGCUUUUAAUACCACAGAACCCAUUGAAAACAAUGGAUUCUAUUCUGCGUAUGGCCAGUUGUUUGUCAGCCUUCACGAGUGGAAAAACAAUGCUGUCUAUAGCUGUGUAGUGUACCACGAAUCUGUGGUUAACACAACUAGAGCUAUUGUCAGGUCCAUUGGGUACAGAACAUUUGACAAAAACCGCAUUGACCUCAACAUGAACAUCAACCAAGACUCAAAGUGCUCGGCCCAGUAGAUGUUUCUCAUGUCUCUGUCUUCUGCUGUUUGUUGUUUAAUGUCUGUUGCUUGUGAUAUGACAUUGUGUUUGUGUGUUUCAAUGCAGAUUCAAAAUAAAAAAAAAAAAACA